GAAGCAUGUCCUAAAGACCAGACAUUGCCCUCAUUCAAAUGUAUUAGUUAACUUUAAUAUUCAGAGAAUUGUGCUGUUCAAUGAAUAAGGAGCAAAAUUCAAAUAAGACUUCACUCCUGUUUAAGGCACAAGCAGAUUGGAUCUGACCUAUGAUUUAACUGGCAUCAGGAAUUUUCAAGGGGAACUUCCAGCAUAUACACAAAGUGCGUGUAACCCAGACCUCCGUGCCAAAUAAUUGGAUUUUUGAGUGUGAAGGCCACUUCCAUGGGGAACAGUUCAACAUGGUUAAACUUUUGGGUCCAAACACAGAAGUGGACCCUAAAGCUAUGGAAGACUAUCAGGAGAUAGCAAAAGAGAGAAGCUAUGAUGAAAGUAAAAUCAUUUUCCCUAAGCAAGAAGACGCCUGUGUCCCAGAACAUGAUUAAGG
Long non-coding RNA from Sarcophilus harrisii (Tasmanian devil), 427 nucleotides. RefSeq lists it as uncharacterized. Lineage: Eukaryota; Metazoa; Chordata; Mammalia; Dasyuromorphia; Dasyuridae. The transcript has 4 exons. The record is from RefSeq and is a predicted model, not a curated record.